CUGGCCGUAAACGAUGAAUGCUAGGUGUGUGUGUAGAGAUACAUGCGUGCCGGAGUUAACGCGAUAAGCAUUCCGCCUGGGGAGUACGGUCGCAAGAUUGAAACUCAAAGGAAUUGACGGGGGCCCGCACAAGCGGUGGAGCACGUGGUUUAAUUCGAUGCAAACCGAAGAACCUUACCGGGGUUUGACAUGUACGUGGUACGGAUCUGAAAGGUGAAGGACCUUUUCUUCGGAAGGGGAGCGUACACAGGUGC
Molecule: ribosomal RNA, 254 nt
Filed under: uncultured Aminobacterium sp.
Lineage: Bacteria; Thermotogati; Synergistota; Synergistia; Synergistales; Aminobacteriaceae
Description: partial 16S ribosomal RNA
Rfam family: Bacterial small subunit ribosomal RNA
Source: RNAcentral